CAAACGACUCUCGGCAACGGAUAUCUCGGCUCACGCAUCGAUGAAGAACGUAGCAAAAUGCGAUACUUGGUGUGAAUUGCAGAAUCCCGUGAACCAUCGAGUUUUUGAACGCAAGUUGCGCCCAAAGCCAUCCGGCUAAGGGCACGCCUGCCUGGGCGUCACGCAUC
RNAcentral lists this ribosomal RNA (167 nucleotides) under Youngia paleacea. RNAcentral describes it as "5.8S ribosomal RNA". It matches the Rfam family "5.8S ribosomal RNA". From Rfam's summary of the family: 5.8S ribosomal RNA (5.8S rRNA) is a component of the large subunit of the eukaryotic ribosome. It is transcribed by RNA polymerase I as part of the 45S precursor that also contains 18S and 28S rRNA. Lineage: Eukaryota; Viridiplantae; Streptophyta; Magnoliopsida; Asterales; Asteraceae. The record is from RNAcentral.